Molecule: non-coding RNA, 107 nt
Organism: Gossypium hirsutum (cotton)
Lineage: Eukaryota; Viridiplantae; Streptophyta; Magnoliopsida; Malvales; Malvaceae
Source: Rfam
ACCCAAUGGUGAGGGCAUCUUCGUAAAAGGUCCUUGUAUCUCUCCCACGCAUCGUAGAGUGUUUCUAAAUCCAUCUGCACAAAAGAGGAGAUAUCAUUACGUAAUUU